GGCGCUGCGCCGCUCUCGGCCCGAGCUGUUUGUAAAUUACAUUAGCGGCGCCUUUAUUGCACCCGAACCUCGGGCGACUGAAAAGCCACCGCCCCCACCCCAAACUGAGAGCCGAGCUCCGGGCGCACCCGCCUCCCGCAGGCCUGGUUGCGGUGGCAGCGCCAGCCCGGAGGUCUCAGGCUCUCCAACCCGGGAUUUGGAGUCCGAGAAGGGUGGCGGGAGCCCCAACAAGGGAGGGACGCGGCCGCGGCGCGGGUCAGGUAAGAACAGGAGUCCGGGUGGGCCCGGUUCCGCCCACUGUGGACUUUGCCAAGCCGAAAUCAAGAACCUAGAGCCCCAUUCCCGAUCCUUGUCCCUCACCCCCAGCUCUGGGCCAUGUGCUUGGAGAAAGGGAACCUGAAGCCCUCCUGGACUGGCGCGCAGGAGGUCAGAGCCAGCUUCACAGCCCUGGGUGGGCAACGCGGGACAGGGGUGGGGAUUCCAGCGGUUGGGGAGGGGGCCAGUCAGAGGGCUCAGCCUUCCCCAUGCCAGGAGGCGGAGGGAGGAGUUGUUGGUGUCUGUGAGCGCCUCUACCCCGGCCUGAGACCGAAGCGGCCACCCUACCUCCUCCGGCAAUCUUGCACACUCUUAGCCUGGUCUGCGACUGGCUCUCCGGCCGGCUAGGGUACGACUCUUUUGAUGAUAGGCGUCUAAUGGGCAAACGGGCCGAGUGCCGGAGCUACUGGGAAGGGCUUGGGGCUUCUCCGCUGCUCUGCCCGGGCCCGGGCCGGGGCCCCGUUGCGGGCCCCGCCCAGCCCAGCGCCGCGCUUGUGUGUACUGCCCGGCCGACUCCAGCUGUUCCGGAUGCUGGGCGGGGGCCGUAGGGGCCGGGCCAGGGCUGGGGCUGCGCUCUCAGAAACUCGCAGGGAGGCUAGGGUUCCAGUUAGGCUGACCGCUGAGGAGCCCUAUGGCCUGGAAUCUGUGCAUAUUAGAUGGGCAUUUUGUGUGCAUCGUUACUUGAAGGUGUUUAUGUUUUUGAAUAUGCGUAUUUGUGUGUGGUUCUCCAUGUGUAUAUUUGUGUAAACCUAUGUGAACCUUUGGGCAUGUUAGUGGGUUUGAACCUCAGCUAUGUGUUUCAUUUCCCUGAGGCACAACAACGGGGCUGUGCCCUCAGGCCCUCUUCUCUCUUGCUACCCCAUCUGGUUUGUGUCUGCCCCUAAUUUUCCAUUUCUGCCCUUGGAGAAAGGGGAGGAAGAGGGAGUUGGAGUCAAGGGAAGUUCUCCCUGCUCACACACAGAGGCACAGACUCUACCGGCUUUGUUUGUAGUGCGGGUAGUGUGGUUAGUGUGGUUGGACAGCUUAAGCUUGAACCAGAGGAGGGACCAGAGAGGCCAGUUUGAGGGCUCAAGGCCUAGGGCAGAGGUGGUUGGAAUAAGAAGAAUGGAACUUCUUUCCCCUCAUACCUGCCCUGGAGAGGGAGUGGACUGAGCUGGGCUAUGGAACAGAGAGCAGAUUCUCUCUCUGCCUCCAGUGGAGAAGCCGCUGAACACCAGAGAUUGGUUUAUCUCACAGUUAGUUGUGUUUGGAGUCAUGACUUGCAGCUCUCUGGAGUAAUAGGGAUGGAUUAGGGAGACUGAAUUCUCCUGUGGGGCCCUAGUGCUGACCUGGAGCAUGCUUGAGAAUCUUGGAAGGAGCUUCCUUUCCCACCUUUGCACUGACUGGAUUUUGGAGGAAGGACAGGUGCUCAGAGGAAGAAAUGGUGCAAAGAGGGAUUUCAGUUCUCACAGAGCUGCAGAUCCAUUCCUGGGGCAUGCCUGUUCUGAGGCAUCCCUGCUACCCUGAAAGCCACAAGGAGAUUCUGGGCCUAGAAAUAGUAGAGUCAGAGUCUAGGAACUGGCGAAGAACAGAAGAGAGAAGGGGAAGAUUUGGAAGGGGGAGGGCAAGAUAGGUCUGCCCUCUCCUUUCACUUACUGCAUUUAGAAUCCCAUCUCAUCCCUUUCCUACCAUAACCCCAACUUCCUGACCAGAACCUCAGUCAAACUCCAUAUCAGAGACAGCUCUCCAGAUCUGGGACUGGGAACUUUGAGUUCUAUCCUAAGGUGAGGGUAUCCUCCCAUACCUGCCCUCUUUCCUUUCCUGUUACUUUAUUCUCUGCACCUGAUACUGGCCAGAAGGACUGUGCCUUAGGGAAAAGCCCAGCAGCUGCUAUUGCCCAUCUCCCAGUCCCCAAAGACCAGUGGAGUUCAGGAUUACUGAGAGACCUCUAGGAAGGGGUGGAAUAUGAACUGAGGAGCAUGAGAGUCUUGUUCCCUGGGAUCUUUAGUUUUUAGCCACACUAUGUCAAAGUGGGGACUACAUUACACCAUCCUCUGAUGUAUCACCUCCACCCACCUUCACCAAAUGUCUCCUUCCCUGGGCGGCCCAGCCCUGCUACCUUUGGUUCAUCCACCUAAUCAGUUGGCCUCUUGGCUAAACAUGUUCAGGAGCUCUGCAUAUUUAGGGGUUCCACCUAGUUCUUUGUUGUUUCAAUUUAUUUUCCCAGGUCUCCUUAUCCAGUCCACCUUGGAAAAUCAACCUAACGGUCUCAGCAACUUUUUCCCCACCCUGUGGUUCUACCCUAUCUCUACCCCUAAAGCCCUAGUGUGUGCCCAGCUAAGACUUUCUGGACUCCUAAGAGUCCAAAUUCUCUGGCCUCCUUCUUGCAGAGCAGUAAGGUGUAUUUUUGGUUUGUGAUUGGACUCCCUCUUCUCUGCCACCAGACUGAGAUCCUUGAGUUUGAUGAUUCCAUCCAUCCCAGACUGAAGGACAACUGUUAUUGGUUGAAUAAGUUUCCAUCAAGCAAACAGGGUACAAAUGGCUGGGGAAUGACUUGGGCCAAGACUGUGAGACUCUAAAAGAGAACUACUAGUAGGGGAAUGGAGGUUGGUUAGAAGGAACCCAACCAUCACUUUCUAGACUCUAGUCUUUCUGCCCAACUUUCUGCUGAGGAAAAGAAGACACUUAGAGGUUCCCCCACCCCUAGCCAACUGGGACAAUGUCUUUUUACCUGGAGCUGUAAGAAACUGAUCCCCAGAGUCUGCUCCACAGAGGAAGUGCUCAUUUUCAGAGCCAGUUAUACACCAUAUCCUGACCUUUUUUUUUUUUAGAUGGGAUAGAGGCUUUCUUUUUUUUUUUUUUUUUCUUUUUUUGUACUGGGGAUUUAGCCCAGAGGCAUUUUACCACUGAGCUACAUCCCAGCUUUUUUUAUUUCUUAUUUUUAGACAGGGUCUUCCUAAGUUGCUUAGAGCUUCACUUACUUGCUGAGGCUAGCCUCAACCCCCCAAGUCACUGGGAUUACAGGCAUGAGCCACCAUGCCCAGCAGCAUAUUCUGACUCUUGAAGUCUCCUUUACUUCCUAUAAGGCCAGGGUCUAGCCUUAUUUCAUCUCUAGUGGAAGGGGAAAGGAACAUUCUACCCAAAAUCUGUCUGCCCCCUUCCCAGUUUAAGGAAGAUUCUGGACAAAAAGAAAAGAAAGAGCAUUCAUUCACAAAUGGCCACGAUAAGGGGACCCAAACAAAUGAAUAAUUCCUUAGCACAGGAGAGAAAUUCACUUAAAUCCCUGGGGCUCCAUCUGAUCAGUCUAUAUUGUUUGGGUGGCCCCAUUCAUUUCCAGGUUCUUUGUGUAAGUACCACCCUUAAGCCAGAAUUCCUUCUGAAGGAAAGAGUCUGACUCCACUUAAAACAAGUCAACUUGAGCAUUGCUCUGGGUCACAUUUUCUCAUGUAGACCUGCUACUCUUGACACCCCAUAUGGAAUUCAGAAAGUGCUUUCUGUGCUAUAGAAUUAGCACAGAUUAGGUGGCCUCCUGUUAUCCUGACUGAGCCAGGACUGCUCAGUAGUCCUUACAUUCGGCCCAGGGUACUAUCUGUAGCAACAACCGUAAUAACUAUGGCAAUAAAUACCAUAAGCCCUUACCUUGCCUGAAUCCAGGCUGUUUUAUUUAUUUCAUUUACUACUACCUUUGAAGUAGCUACUGCUAUUACCCCUAUUUUACACAUAAGCAGGAGCCUAGAGAAGUUCUCUGAGGCCCAGAGAAGUUCAGUAACCCAUCCAAUGUCACACAGCUUAUUUUGAAGUGAUAAGGAUUGGAAAACUUUUUUUUUUUUAGACUCAAGUCUGUGCCCGUAAUCCCUGAACUAUGAGGUUCUUAAUCAGAGAUCCCUAAGAGCUUUUUGAAUGGGCUUCAGGAGUUCUGCAGACCCCAGAAAUUGUGUAUAAAAUUCACAUGUGAGCCCUGAUGGGCAUAUUUUUCUGGGGCUAAUAUUACAUAACACACUAGAGUCUCAAAAGUGUUGGAAAUCCAGAAAAGGUAAAGGCCAGAAUCAGGCCAGUGGGGAAUGGGAAGUUGUCUCCUCCCAGGCCUGGGGAGGGGAGCCAGCUGCUCCAAAAUUCAGUCUGGGUUCCAAGCUGGCUUCUGAAAUUGCCAGGCUUUCUCUAGCUAAGCUUAGCUUUCAGGACCUCUGGUGAGGUGAGGCAGGGGCAGGAUCUGAGGGCUGGCCAUUCCUUUGAAGAGCACCCCCUUCCCUGCUCCUUUCCUCCCUGCUUCUUUUGUGAACUGAGUUCCUUCAGAACCUAAUGUCUAGGUGGCUACCCACAUGAGAAGCUUCUUCUGGGAACUUCAGCCCUAUAUGAUGGGAGGAGCUGACUGUUCUUUGGAAGUAUGAAGGGUAUAAACUGAUAACGGAGUGACAGAAAUAGGCAGGUAUGGGAAGACUUACCAGGAGGUUACUCAAGUCCUGGGUGCCCAUGCUAUGCGACCACCAGAAUAGUCUUCUAUUUUAGUCCCAAACCUUUGCUCCCUUUAUCCCAAAGCCAGAAAUGUCUCUUCCUGGUACCUCUUGCCCUGUGCUUAAUGCCCAAUUCAUUUCCUUGGAGAAACCUUCCCUGCCCUGUCCAGCUCCUCAGCACACCCCCUCGGGGCCACUAUCACGUUGCUAGGAACAUGUUGGAUUUGUCCAUCUUCCCUUCUUCCUCUCUCUCUCUCCAUCUGGCUGUGAACUUACUUAGGGAGGAUGAAAAUUGACUUUCCUCUCUAUGCCCCUAUGCCAGGCUGGCAUAUACCAAUGUCUCUCCCAAGCACUUGCUGAAUGUAUAAACUAAAUUAAUAAAAUAAGAGACAAAGAGAGAACCAGGCAGGGCUCUCAGCCUAUUCGCCGGAAUGAGGACUAGGGAUACAAGAGAAGGGUAGGUGCAUCAUUUAUUUUGCCAGCUGUGAGCAGAUGUGUGAGGCACCCUGCUGCUUAUACCUCCAAUGCACAGAGGGGCAGAGACCUCAUUCUUUAAUGAUUAUUGGCUGGAAGUGGAGUGCUAGGUUCUGGAUCCAGCUGUGGUUGUGUGACCUGACUUAGGAAUAAAUUUUGUUCACACUGAUUUUUCUUUUGUUGUGUUUGUUUUGAAAACAAGAAGUAGAAAGGAAGAACAGACUGAAGAUGGGGAGUGGUAGGAGUAGCAAGAAACAGACCCCACCCCCAAUAGCCCAGGGUAAAGGAAGCUAAGUGUGUGGAGAGGGGGGCUAGUUCUGUUUCCACUGGAGGUAACAUUUGAGUGGAACUUGGAAAAACCAGAAGCAUUUGAAUAGGUGGGGAAGCAGGAACCAUUUUGGAGGCAAGGGGGAAUAGUCAAGCAAGAACCCAGAGGUGUCAGCCCAGAAGGGAGCUGGAAUGUCACCAUACUUUUCUCUCUGUUGCCUGCUGGGGUCCAGAUGAAAUCCAUAGUCCCUUGUACACCCUAGUGGGUUUGCAGGCUUGGGGCAGUGAUUGGUGGGCUCUUGGGAUAGCUGUUUAGGGCUUGGAGGAGUGCUUGAGAGAGUCUGUGUCAGGCCCUUGUGGAUGGUUCCUUUCUGGCUGCUUCAGAGCUGACAGUUCUCUCUACUAACCCAGUGGGCCCAAGAACUCCAAGAACAGAGCAAAAUCACUAAUGAGAGUCAGCAUCCUCCAUUCCAUAGAGGUCUCAUAGCCUUUGGGAAGGCGCCAAGCACAGGCCAGCAGUGGGGUUUGGUGGAAAGACACAGGGACCAAGGGAGAGAGUCCAGGAAAUGGAAGAGAGAGCCCGCCCAGGCAGGCGGGGGGCGGGGGGGGGGGGGGGGGGGGGGGGGCAAGAAAGGCCUGAGUCAGGCUUCUCAUAAUAAACAGCAUGUGAAUAAUUCAGGAGCGGCCCAUGGGCUCAUUGCUUUAGAACUGAGGCAGUUCGUGCAGCUCCACAAGUCCCCGCAGAGCCCAGGGGGCCACUAAUGCACUAGAGGAAGCGGGCAGUGUAGAAGAUUCCCUACUGCUUGGUAUCCUAGGUUAUGCCCAGGCUGAGUUCCAAGAGCCCUGGCAUCCCUGAUCCAAACGUCCGAGGCAACACAGGACAUUGCUACCCCAGCCCAGUGGUUCCUGUGCCCCAAGUGAGAGAAUUCAGGCAGCAGGACCGAGGCCAGAAUAGGGCAAAGAGGAGAUAUGAGUGGCUGACCUGCGGAAAGUCUGGCAGCCAAACUACCCAACCACACCAGGAAAAUGGGCUGUGAGCCUUGAAGCAAAGUGGCAAGACAGUUUGGUCCUGUGCUUGGAUCCAAUAUCCUUGGGGAAUUCGUCCUGUGCGGGAUUUUCCUUGCUAUGGAAGUGAGGCACCAAAUAAACCUCAGGGCCCUCCACCGGCUCUGGACCUCCAGGUCGCCUGUCCUUUGUUCCUACCUCUCCCAGGCCGCGGGUCCAAGUUUGGAUGCGCCUCGAGCAUCUGUUUUGUCCCGGGCCUCAGCACUCGCCUCGGUGCGGGAAGGGAGUCCUAGGCUGCUGGGCAUGUAAGAGAGAAGAGUGAAGCGCUUAGUAGCUGAAGCCUUAUUUCGUUUGAGCAAUACCAGCUAGUUCCCUUUGGUGUUUCCCAUGUGUCAGUGGGUUCCUAAUCUUGAGGGAUCACACUCAUUCCAUCUCAUUUCCAACAAUGCCUCCAAUUUCUCUAGUUCCUGUGCACGCCCUUCAUUUCUACUAGGUCAACCUAACCCUGUAUUCGGCCCCUGACUCCUUUACCCACACAACCUCCCUUACCUCGGUGAGUCUCGGACCCAUACGCUCGCACAGGCUCCGCCGGCUCUCCAGUCCAGGGCAGGCGCAAGGAGGCCCCUAGCCGGUCUUCAGGUAUGUUGCGCUGCCGGACCCGAAGACACCAGGGAAGCAGCUCCCCUCUGCCCUCUGCCCCAAUUUUCCUCCUUUUGCUUAUGGCUCAUCUUCUUCAUCUUCCCUCCGCCUCUACACAUUUCUUAUUCGUUUUUCUUCGUUUGGAGAGGUAUGGCGGCCGUAGCCCCGGCACCUGGGGAAGUCUGGAUUUACUCUGGCGCUGUUGGCUCCAGUUUGACAGCCAAAUCUCCAUCCCGGGAUUCCUAGAGGCUCAGCAGGGCAGCUUAGGUGUCUACGGAGAUGCAGAUGAGGUGGAGUGAUGGCACUUUGACCCCACACUGCUCCUGCUGCUGGCCGGCAGUAAGAUUUUGGUAAGUUCUUUUAACCUCUUUGCCUUGAUGGUAGGAAAGGGCAGGAGACUUAGGGAAGGGUGACGGGAGCCUAAGCCUUUUACUUUUUUUUUUUUUUUUUUUGGUGGUGCUGAGGAUUGAACCCAGGGCCUUGCACAUUCGAGGCAAGCACUCUACCAACUAAGCUAUAUAAACAAAACAAAACAAAACAAAAAAACCUUACCUGCCUUGGGGCUUCAGAAGCAAGUGAGGUUCAAGGAAAUUCUAGGUCUGAAAUGACUAUUUAUUUAAAAGAACAUUUAGGGAGCAAUUGGUAGCUGCUACUUGUUUUUCUUUCUUCAUUUAUCUUUUUUUUCUUCUUCUUCUUCUUUUGUAAACAGCCGAUGAGGUGCCAGGCAUUCAACUCCUUCUCUCCAGUUCUCACCGUCUCUAUCUUGCAGAAGAAGAAACACGUGAAGGUCUCAUCGCUCUAAUCAGCCUCACAAGGGGCAUUCGAACCCAGAUCCAGUUAGAAGCCUCUACACUUUAAGCCUCUGCAGUCUUGCCUUGGACCCAGGGCCAACUAAGCCCAGAAGAGUUGGGUUGAAUUCUCAAGCGUUCGUCCCCUGCCCCUCCUGGCUCUGGGAAAGGUUUGAAAAUUUUAUUUUCGGGCUAACGAUUUUGGCGGCGCCUAAAGAAGGACAGAAGUGAGACCAAGGAGGAACCUAAGUUACAGGCGAGCCCCUAGCCAGGCGGCAGCGGCAGGGUCGAAUUCAAAUCCUUCCUGGACUUGUGCUCUUUGGAGUCUGUCCUAGUCUGGCUGUUCUGUGGGGCCUAUUUUCAGACAGUCCUGGACCAAGAGGGAGAAGAAGCCGAAGCAGAUGAUUCCCCCACUAUUCCUCUCUCUCCAGGGGCACCUCGCU
RNAcentral lists this long non-coding RNA (8361 nucleotides) under Marmota monax (woodchuck). Lineage: Eukaryota; Metazoa; Chordata; Mammalia; Rodentia; Sciuridae. The record is from RNAcentral.